This 352-nucleotide ribosomal RNA is filed under the name Escherichia coli. RNAcentral describes it as "partial 23S ribosomal RNA". It matches the Rfam family "Bacterial large subunit ribosomal RNA", at positions 614 to 967 of the family's 2925-position model. The record is from RNAcentral. Lineage: Bacteria; Pseudomonadati; Pseudomonadota; Gammaproteobacteria; Enterobacterales; Enterobacteriaceae.
AAUGGGUCAGCGACUUAUAUUCUGUAGCAAGGUUAACCGAAUAGGGGAGCCGAAGGGAAACCGAGUCUUAACUGGGCGUUAAGUUGCAGGGUAUAGACCCGAAACCCGGUGAUCUAGCCAUGGGCAGGUUGAAGGUUGGGUAACACUAACUGGAGGACCGAACCGACUAAUGUUGAAAAAUUAGCGGAUGACUUGUGGCUGGGGGUGAAAGGCCAAUCAAACCGGGAGAUAGCUGGUUCUCCCCGAAAGCUAUUUAGGUAGCGCCUCGUGAAUUCAUCUCCGGGGGUAGAGCACUGUUUCGGCAAGGGGGUCAUCCCGACUUACCAACCCGAUGCAAACUGCGAAUACCGGA